GUGCGACACGAAGUCGCUUAAUGAAGUUGUUCCCCCUGCGGGAACCACCCGUGUCACCGGGUGAAUCUAGAAGGCUGAAUAAAGAGCGCCUUCGACAAUGUAACGAGGCACCGCAAGGUGCGGGGUAUCAAUCGUGAGAGACGUACCCUUCUGGCAGCCAUAGCCGGACAAGGGCUAGAUAAUCGGUAUGGUGAACACAUGUGAAUCUGCGUAACGAUCGUUAAGUUGAACGAGCGGAAAUGGCUGAUACGCUCGAACCAAAACGGUAAUGGAGGUGGGAAUUGCGUCUUUCGACUACGCAUUCGUGACCCAUACGCCUCCCGGUCGAUAGCAGGCACCUAAGCCGAUGUACUUCAGUAAGCGGAACGUGGAAAUCCCGUAUUACUCCCAUUGGGAAAGCAGUUUGCAAAAACUGCCCAUGGUGAUGCGGGCGAAGGAACGAGGAAAAAGCGAAUGCCAGUCUGUAAUGGGUUGGAUAGAGGUUGAAACAUUACCCCACGCGAAAGCGGGCUGACGUCCUUAUGGUCUCUCAUCACAAGAGAGUGUGUAGAACCCUUUUAAUGGAGGGAGAGCAAAUGAAUGCAGCAGUAUCAGCGUGUGCACCUUCCAGCACAUCGUGGGACAGCAUCGAUUGGAUUGCUGUACAGCGUCAUGUCAGAGGGCUGCAAGCGCGUAUUGUGAAGGCGGUACAAGACGGCAGGCAUAACAAGGCGAAAGCUUUGCAAUGGCUGCUGACUCACUCGUUUAGUGGCAAAGCAUUGGCCGUCAAACGAGUGUCUGAAAACAAAGGCAAAAACACGGCUGGGGUCGACAAGGUGACUUGGAAUACACCCAAGGCCAAGACCGGUGCGAUGAUGUCGUUGAAGAGGCGAGGUUACACGCCCCUUCCGCUUCGGAGAGUCCUUAUUCCGAAGAAAAAUGGCAAGAUGAGACCUCUCGGGAUACCCACGAUGAAAUGCCGGGCCAUGCAGGCGCUCCAUCUGCUGGCUUUGGAACCCAUCGCGGAGACCAUCGCUGAUCGGAACUCUUAUGGAUUCAGACCACAACGCUCAACCGCGGAUGCUGCAGCACAGUGCUUUGGUGUGCUGUCAAGAAAAGUAAGUGCGGAGUGGGUGCUAGAGGGUGACAUUCAAGGCUGUUUCGACAAUAUCAGCCAUGACUGGAUGAUCGCCAACCUCCCAAUGGACAAGGUGAUUCUACGGAAAUGGCUCAAAGCCGGUUACGUCUACCAAAGCAAGCUGUUUCCCAGUCUUUCCGGAACACCGCAAGGAGGUAUUAUCUCCCCGGUGUUGGCCAACAUGACCUUGGACGGACUGGAAACGAUGCUGGCGAAGAGGUUCCCUAACGCCAAAUGGACAGGCAAAAAGCUGCAACUGGUACGGUAUGCGGAUGAUUUCAUCAUCACGGGGUAUUCUAAAGAGUGGCUCGAAAAUGAAGUUCGCCCUGCCGUGGUUGAAUUUCUGGCGCAGCGCGGUCUCGUGCUCUCUCAGGAAAAGACCAAAAUCACGCACAUAGGGAACGGGUUCGAUUUUCUUGGGUGGAACGUACGCAAGUACAAUGGCAAGCUACUGAUCAAGCCGUCAAAGGCAAACAUCAGUGCUCAUCUCGAUAAGCUGCGAGCAUUAAUCAAUGCAAACAAAGCGACACGACAGGCCACUUUGAUCGGUUUGCUCAACCCUAUUCUAAGGGGUUGGGCCAACUAUCAUAGUUAUGUCGUUGCCAAGAAGGUUUUCAACCAGGUAGACAGCGCAGUGUGGGAAAUGCUCUGGCGAUGGGCGGUACGUCGCCACCCUCGCAAAACACUCCGAUGGGUCAAAGAUCGGUAUUUCAAAGUACAAGGAGCGCGUCGAUGGGUGUUCUCAUGUGAUGAACAGUCCGCCGAUGGUCGGAAGCGACAAUACACAUUAGUGUCUGCCUCGGACACGCCAAUUGUGCGACAUAUCAAGAUCAAGGCUGCUGCUAACCCUCAUGACCCCGCAUGGGAUGAGUACUUCGAAUCCCGAUGGGGUAAAAGAAUGCUGGUCUCCGCAAAGGGGCGAGCCAAGCUGUAUCGGGUGUGGCUAAAACAAGGUGGUCGCUGCUGCGCCUGUCUUAAACCAGUCACCAAAGAUACACCAUGGCACAGCCGUCAUAUUGUGAAGCUAAGUCAUGGUGGAACGGAUGCAGUUGCUAAUCUUGAGAUUUACCAUCUGUAUUGUCCGAGGAGUGUUCAGUUUGCCAAUGUCAACGAUGUAUAACCGGGUGCCGAAUGGCGCCUUAGCAGAGGCUUGAGCCGUGUGCUGGGAAACUCGCAUGCACGGUUCUUAGGGGGUUGGACGUAGGUAACUGCGUCUGACUACCCGAC
This 2344-nucleotide non-coding RNA is filed under the name Acinetobacter sp. The record is from RNAcentral. Lineage: Bacteria; Pseudomonadati; Pseudomonadota; Gammaproteobacteria; Moraxellales; Moraxellaceae.